GAUGAACGCUGGCGGCGUGCCUAAUACAUGCAAGUCGAGCGAACAGAUGAGGAGCUUGCUCCUCUGACGUUAGCGGCGGACGGGUGAGUAACACGUGGAUAACCUACCUAUAUGACUGGGAUAACUUCGGGAAACCGGAGCUAAUACUGGAUAAUAUAUUGAACCGCAUGGUUCAAUAGUGAAAGACGGUUUUGCUGUCACUUAUAGAUGGAUCCGCGCCGCAUUAGCUAGUUGGUAAGGUAACGGCUUACCAAGGCGACGAUGCGUAGCCGACCUGAGAGGGUGAUCGGCCACACUGGAACUGAGACACGGUCCAGACUCCUACGGGAGGCAGCAGUAGGGAAUAUUCCGCAAUGGGCGAAAGCCUGACGGAGCAACGCCGCGUGAGUGAUGAAGGUCUUCGGAUCGUAAAACUCUGUUAUUAGGGAAGAACAAAUGUGUAAGUAACUAUGCACGUCUUGACGGUACCUAAACAGAAAGCCACGGCUAACUACGUG
This 497-nucleotide ribosomal RNA is filed under the name uncultured bacterium. RNAcentral's name for it is "partial 16S ribosomal RNA". It matches the Rfam family "Bacterial small subunit ribosomal RNA", at positions 28 to 507 of the family's 1533-position model. The record is from RNAcentral.